CUUGGGAUAUAGCUCAGUUGGUAGAGUGCUUGCCUCACAUGUACAAGGUCCUGGGUUCAAUCCCCAGCAUCAAGG
RNAcentral lists this transfer RNA (75 nucleotides) under Marmota monax (woodchuck). Its description in RNAcentral is "tRNA.Val". The stretch from base 6 to 71 matches the Rfam family "tRNA". Rfam says of the family: Transfer RNA (tRNA) molecules are approximately 80 nucleotides in length. Their secondary structure includes four short double-helical elements and three loops (D, anti-codon, and T loops). Lineage: Eukaryota; Metazoa; Chordata; Mammalia; Rodentia; Sciuridae. The record is from RNAcentral.